CUUAGAUGCCCUUAAAUAAAUUCCAAUAGUCUUCCCCACUUAUCUCUCCAUGCUCGUUCUCUGUAUCAUCACCACCCACCCGAUCUACUCUCACUAUUCUUCUCCACCCAUCCAUCUUAUGCCUUAAAAUUUAUCAAUUGGCAAAUACUCGGUACAUAGGAUCUCUAAUCAACAUGAAAUCUCUACUGAUUUGUCCCAUAAAGAUGGUAGGUUAACAAUUCAUGGUAAAUCCUUCGGUGAUGGCAUUGCUGGAAAAUUUUUUGGUCAAUAUUUAAAAGCAUGCAGUUCAAUAGUUUCCCUUGAAACUAAUUUUGUUUGAAUGCAGGCACUAGUAAUGAUAAUGGAGGGUCAAGUUAAAUGGAUUUUGAGAUGAGUGAUCCUAUAGCUUCAAAUAUUGAUAAGAAUUCAGCCUCAAAUAUUGACUUCAAUCCAAGAUCCUGCAGCUUCAAAAGCCACUGUCACAUGCGGUUCCAAGCCCAUCGGUUAUCAAUCCCAUGUUUUUGCUCUUUGCUAAAUAAAAAAGCCAAUGCCUUUGCUCUUCUCAAUGGCUUUCUUUCCCAAAGUGUUUCUUUUUAUGCCUCUCUCAUCCUUCAAUUUGCCACUCUUCUUGACCUUACAACCUGUUAUUGUCUUUUUAAAGUAAAUGUUUCUUUCAUUAACUAUGUUUUCAUGUGAAACACUUUCCGCCUCAAGGCAUGUGUUGAUAAUUCGAAUGUUUAGAAGGGUAUGGAGAUUCAUGGGUUUGUGUUCAAACUUGGUUUUGAUUUGGAUGUCUUUGUGGGUAACACCCUUUUGUUGUUCUAUGGUAAUUGUGGGAAUUUAACGGAUGUGAAU
RNAcentral lists this unclassified non-coding RNA (834 nucleotides) under Hevea brasiliensis (rubber tree). Lineage: Eukaryota; Viridiplantae; Streptophyta; Magnoliopsida; Malpighiales; Euphorbiaceae. The record is from RNAcentral.